AGCAGCCGCGGUAAUUCCAGCUCCAAUAGCGUAUAUUAAAGUUGUUGCAGUUAAAAAGCUCGUAGUUGAAUUUCGGGAUCAAAUUGUCGGUCGUGCCUCGGUACGCACUGGUAUUAUUGGUUCCUACCUUCUGAAGAACCGCGAUGUCAUUAAUUUGGUGUCGUGGGGAAUCAGGACUGUUACUUUGAAAAAAUUAGAGUGUUUAAAGCAGGCUUACGCUUGAAUACAUUAGCAUGGAAUAAUGAAAUAGGACGUUUGAUUCUAUUUUGUUGGUUUCUAGGAUUGACGUAAUGAUUAAUAGGGAUAGUUGGGGGGCAUUAGUAUUCAAUUGUCAGAGGUGAAAUUCUUGGAUUAUUGAAGACUAACUACUGCGAAAGCAUUUGCCAAGGAUGUUUUCAUUAAUCAAGAACGAAAGUUAGGGGAUCGAAGACGAUCAGAUACCGUCGUAGUCUUAACCAUAAACUAUGCCGACUAGGGAUCGGAUGAUGUUAAUUUUUUAAUGACUCAUUCGGCGCCUUAC
Molecule: ribosomal RNA, 520 nt
Filed under: uncultured Glomus
Lineage: Eukaryota; Fungi; Glomeromycota; Glomeromycetes; Glomerales; Glomeraceae
Description: SSU rRNA
Rfam family: Eukaryotic small subunit ribosomal RNA
Source: RNAcentral